GUCGGAGGGUCUGUCGCCUGCCUUCAAUGUAUAGGGCGGGAGGAAAGUCCGGGCAACGCAGAGCACCAUACUUUCUAACGGAAAGCUAUCGGUAACGGUAGACAAGCGUGACAGAAAACAACCGCCGCGGCUCCCUCCGGGGGGCUUCGGCAAGGGUGAAAAGGCGAGGUAAGAGCUCACCGGGCGGGAUAGCGAUAUUCCGUGCCGCACGCCUUAUGGGUUGCAAGGUCAAGUAUACCGGCAUUUAAGGGCUGCUCGUCCAUUGCCGGGGGGUAGACUGCUAACGGGGCGCUCCGGCGCUCCAGAUAAAUGACAGACGGUGCCGUCGAACUCCGCUUGCGGAAAGCCGGCGCACCACAUAACUCGGCUUAUACUCCGGCCUG
Molecule: RNase P RNA, 383 nt
Filed under: human gut metagenome
Description: Bacterial RNase P class A
Rfam family: Bacterial RNase P class A
About the family: Ribonuclease P (RNase P) is a ubiquitous endoribonuclease, found in archaea, bacteria and eukarya as well as chloroplasts and mitochondria. Its best characterised activity is the generation of mature 5'-ends of tRNAs by cleaving the 5'-leader elements of precursor-tRNAs. Cellular RNase Ps are ribonucleoproteins.
Source: RNAcentral